CCUCGGCAGGUCGGGCUACGUUCUUCUACGGUCUGAGGCGUUGUCUAGAAACUCAAAAUCUCUGGAAUCCCAUCCAGGACUCCUCCAUCAAGAUUUCUUCCGAUCCUGAGUAACCAAGAAUGGAAUACUGACCCCUUCAGGAGGCAGCCCAUGCCGUUUUUUCCCAACCGCUCUAAUCUGCCCCAAAUGCUUCCUUAUAUGAAUCCAAAUUUGCCUCUCCUUGACCUCUACCCUCUGCACUGUUUCAGCCUCCGCCUCUGGGGCCUUACUAAACAAGUCCAAUCACCCUUCCACGUGACCCCUUAUCUAACUGUAGGUGGGAUUAAUGUACUUAUCUGCCCAAACAGCUCCAGUCCUUUAAACUGCCUUUUAUUGAUUGGAGCCCACCCAGGAUACUACAUUACAUUCAGAUGUCAUGUCUCCUUAGGCUCCUGCAGACUGACAAUUUCUCAAACUUUGUUUUUGAUGACUUUGACAAUUUUGAGGUGGUAUGAUAAUUUGUGAAGUGUUUCUCAUGCUUAGCCUGGAGUUACAAGGUUGGAGAAAAAGACCAAAGAUGUGAAGUGCCAUUCUCAUCACAUCAUGUCAAGGGUACAUGCUGUUAACAUGAAUUAACAUCGAUGAUGUUAACCUUGAUGUCCUGGCUGAGGUAGUUUAUUAGGCUUUUUCUCUACAAAGUUACUCCCCUCCCCGUACCUUUCCGUACUGUGUUUUUGGGAAGG
This 722-nucleotide long non-coding RNA is filed under the name Pan troglodytes (chimpanzee). Its description in RNAcentral is "long non-coding RNA NONPTRT001222". Lineage: Eukaryota; Metazoa; Chordata; Mammalia; Primates; Hominidae. The record is from RNAcentral.